RNAcentral lists this long non-coding RNA (571 nucleotides) under Homo sapiens (human). RNAcentral describes it as "RNASE11 and RNASE12 antisense RNA 1". The record is from RNAcentral. Lineage: Eukaryota; Metazoa; Chordata; Mammalia; Primates; Hominidae.
AGAGAACUAGAAAAUGAAACUCAGCUGAAAAACGGCCACCUAAGAUGGAAGAAGCCAUGAGAUGAGUAAGCGUUGCCUACUCACAAGGUUGCAAACUGUCCUUCACUUACGAUUAUCCCCCAACGCCCCCUCCUAAAUCUGAUCAAUCGCAUGGAACUUGAUGGUUACAAAAGACAGAGCUAACAACUAGCUACCUUGCAGGAACGGGAACGUCAUUCUGAGGGUAGUCCACAUGCAAGUGUUCUAAAGUUGACAUCACUGCUUCAUCAUUCACCUCAUUUUCCCAGAACAGAAGCACCAAGAAAAUUAUCACCAUUAUUAUCAUCAGAGUGCAGAUCCUUUUUUAAUAGCGAGAACAUUUAAAACCUACUCUUCGAAUAAUUUUGAAAUCUACAAAAUGGCAGCAUGGCCCAGGAGUGUGACUGGCAGUGAAGGAGCUGGGAAGACCUUGGAUGCAGGAAGGUCAUUUAAAGCAAAAGAUUAAGAAGCAGCAAUGCCCCUCUUGUGGCAAGAGUUGGCAGCGUGCGGUUGGUAUGUCAAUGCAUCCAAGGUCCAAGGGCCUGGAUUGUCU